AGAAAAGGUGUCUGGGCUGGGUAUGGCGGCUUAUGCCUGCAGCCCCAGCGCUUGGAGGGGCCAAAGUGGGAGGGACCAUUGAGCCCAGGAGUUCGAGACCAGCCUGGGCAACAGAGUGAGACUUCAUCUCUACAAAAAAAAAAGACGUGGCCCAGUGGAACAUCGGGAGCCUCCGGACCAUCCUGGACAUGGUGGAGCGCGAGUGCGGCACCAUCAUCGAGGGCGUGAACACGCCCUACCUGUACUUCGGCAUGUGGAAGACCACCUUCGCCUGGCACACCGAGGACAUGGACCUGUACAGCAUCAACUACCUGCACUUUGGGGAGCCUAAGUCCUGGUACGCCAUCCCACCAGAGCACGGCAAGCGCCUGGAGCGGCUGGCCAUCGGCUUCUUCCCCGGGAGCUCGCAGGGCUGCGACGCCUUCCUGCGGCAUAAGAUGACCCUCAUCUCACCCAUCAUCCUGAAGAAGUACGGGAUCCCCUUCAGCCGGAUCACGCAGGAGGCCGGGGAAUUCAUGAUCACAUUUCCCUACGGCUACCACGCCGGCUUCAAUCACGGGUU
This 562-nucleotide small RNA is filed under the name Pan troglodytes (chimpanzee). RNAcentral's name for it is "processed transcript". Lineage: Eukaryota; Metazoa; Chordata; Mammalia; Primates; Hominidae. The record is from RNAcentral.